ACAGAUUCUGCAGGUGACGACUACAAUACAACCACUGGUGGUGCCCGAUAUAAUACCGAGACUGCUGGUGGCAGAUACAACACAACCGUUGGCGGUGGUGAUUAUGAAAAAUCGUCUGAUGAUUAUGAAAAAUCAACUGAUGAUUAUGAGAAAGAAAAGAAGGAACAUAAGCAUAAGGAACACCUCGGAGAGAUGGGAGCCCUCGCUUCUGGGGCUUUCGCUUUGGUAAAUAUCUCUUCUUUUAUUUUUAUUGCAGAUUAAAAUAUAAUUCGUCAAUUCUGAUCAAUUGGACAUGAUAAAUAUUUUACUAUCUUUAUUCCUUAAUCACGUUCAGUACGAGAAGCACGAGUCAAAGAAAGACCCCGAGCAUGCCCAAAGGCACAAGAUAGAAGAAGGAGUUGCAGCAGCUGUCGGGGUUGGUUCGGGUGGAUAUGCUUUCCAUGAGCAUCACGAGAAGGAAGAGGCCAAGGAUGACGAAGAAAGGGCAGAGGGAGAGGGAAAGAAGAAACACCACUUGUUUUAACUAUUUAAAAAUAUAUAUUGUCUUAAUUUUCUAUUGUCAUGUGCUAUGCUAUAAAUAAAAUUCCAAUAUCAAUAUUGUUCUAAUUAUGUAAUGCGAGACGGGGAGGACUCUAACUCAGAAAACUAGAGCAUUGAAGUAAGAAAUAUGGUGUCGUGUUAUAGUCCUUCCUCGCCCACGCCACUAUUAUCUUACUGUGUUUAGUGUGAGUUGGUAAUAAAAUUACUUCUUGGUUUGCUCUACAUGAGACAUGAUUAAGAAUUUUUUUUUUUUUUUUUUAUUAAUUGAAGCAUAUUUUUAUUUAAUUUUAUAUCAAUAUCUCAAUAAUUGCCUAGGUUGGGAGACGUUCAAAGUCAUCCUCAAUUUAAUUGUCUUUGACAACUUGAAAAAAAAAAAAAAAAAAAAUUACACCUUGAAAUUAAGAUGUCAACUACCACCAAAGAAGUUAGAUUUCAAUAAUGCCGAAUUAAAUAAAUAUAACAUCAAAACUCAGUGGAUAUAAAUGUUGGGCCCUUCAGUUUUCCAAAAAAAAUUAUCUCUAUAAUAAUGAUCUUCCACAAACGUGGCACCAUGUUGCUCUUACAUUACAUGGCCUACGAAAGCAAAUAUCCAAAUAAUGCAAGAAAAAUCAAUAAAAUACUCAUUUUAAAGCAAGAGUGGUAAUUAAGCAAUAACUGUGAAUAGAGAAUAUUCUGAAUAGGUAGUAAAUGAUACCUGUUACUAUUCUUAACUGCACGAGAAUUAAGUCACCAUCUUGCCGAUAGAUUUUAAUGAAUUCUAAGGAUAAAAGAAAAUCUAAAUCGUUGUGUUCAGGUAGUGGUGGUGAUGGCAAUUGACUGGUGAUGGUUUGAGCAGGUGAAUAAGGGAAUGGGGAUCGUUGGAGAAUAAAACUUGUUUAUUCAUUUCAAAAAUACUUAGUGAUGAUACCAAAAAUCGUACCUGCUGAUUUUCCGAGUUUGAUGAUUCGGGUUGAUCACAAUAGCGGUCUUCUGAUACCUGAAAUAAAGGCAACGAGGUAUGUAGUGUACUUCUAGUAGGAUCGUGUUGGUUGGAUGUUUUUAUCCAAGAGAAUUUCUAUUUAUAAAGAGUGUCCUACUUGUAAUGGAAUUGUUUGACAAGCGGUAUCAGGGUUGAUGUAGAAUCCUUGGGUGUUUAGCUUUGUUUGUUAGGUACCCAGGUCCUAGGAGGCAUGUAGGUGGCGUAUGUCUCGAGGACUAUUCUCCAGGACCUGAGAGAAUGUAAAUAUGUCCUAGAGGUAUCUCGAGGACUACGAUACCUCGAGGACUUAGGGAGACCCGAGGACCAUAGCAGAGAAAUGAGAUGGGGUAUACAUGGAGUCCUCGGGAUAAACUCCUCGGGGUAUAUAAAUAUUGACAUAGUCACUGGCCCCCGUGCACUCGUCCUAGAGAUCGAGCUCUUAGGAUGGGGUGCACAUAGGUUAUGUCAUUUCUCGAACCUUCGUCGAGAAGUGAUGGCUGAUGAUAUAGGUCGAGAUAUGACCGUUGCAGAGAGUGGCUUGGAUUUGUGACACGUGUCUUCGUGGACGGUCGUAGAUAGCGACCUUUGGCCUCCCAUCGUUUUCACCUAUAAAUACUGUUGUUCUCACCUUUAUUUUUCACUUUUACCCACUGUAAAUCAGAGUUCUGCGAGGUCGUGCUCGAGAAAAACACUUUGGGAACUUCUCAAGUCGUCGGGAACUCCAGGUAAGGCUCGAGACUUUAAGUUGUUCAUAAGCUAAGUCUUAAGUUUGCUAAGUGAUGUCGAGUAGUGAGGGUCGAGAAUCUUCUAGUAGUUUUAGUAGUAGUGAGGACGUAGGGACCUCGAUAAUACCAACGGCUAUUCCCCAGAGGCUACUUCCGAGGCCCAGGUUAAUAUGGUUUUUGAGUANNNNNNNNNNNNNNNNNNNNNNNNNNNNNNNNNNNNNNNNNNNNNNNNNNNNNNNNNNNNNNNNNNNGCUAGGGAAUAUGGUAUAAUGCCUAAUUGCGAUGUUAGAUUUCCUGACCCCGAGGAUAGGAUUAUUCGAGCACGACGAGGGGAGUUUGUUAUUUUUAGGGAGACCCUUAAGGCUGGCUUUAGGUGGCCCCUUCACCCCUUCUUUAUUGCUCUAUUAGACGAGCACUCCAUGUGCCCGGGGCAGUUAGUGCCCAACGCCUGGAGAAUGCUCGUUUAUUUUUUUAUAGCAUGUAGAUACUUAGGUAUCGAGCCCAACAUUGGCCUCAGCAAAUUAGUGUUCGAGCUUAAGAAGCAUCCUCGAUACACUUGUUUUGGCUACCUCUCGACGAUUGGGGGUUUUAAAGUCCCGAGGAUGGCGAGCUCUUUGAAGGGGUGGAGGGAGGGGUGGUUUUAUGUUAUAGCCCAAGAACCCGAUCUUCCUUUCUGGCCUGAUUGGGGAAUCCCCGACGCCGAGAAAUUCUGUGAGGGCCAGGUGUAUCCGGAUGUUUUGGAAGAGCAUAGGAGGAUGCUGGUCGGGCUUAGCCCCCUUUUCUUGACGAUGAAGGAGAUUGGGGAAGAGGUUAUAGACCUGGCAGAUAUUAGAGGCGUCGAGGGUAGGGAUGUUCCUUUAUUAUUAUUUUUUGAAAAAUACCCUGACCUUAUGCUCGUUCUAAAAUGUUUGUAAAUUUUUGCAGGUAUGUCUUUUGAUCCUCGGGCUCUUUGAAACUUUGUCAGCACAAGGGCAGACGCUCGAAAAGCAAGAAGAGGCCUCGAGGGACUCCUGAGGGUGCGAGGGGGCCUGGCGAAACUUCUCGAGCACAUCCACAAGUCUCGACCCCUCUGCAACCGAACCUUAGAUCUCCCACUCCUCGGGUCGUCGCUCCUCGGCCUCCUUCUGAAGUGGUUGACCUUGAGGAUGACCCGUCUCUCACCGGGGACUUUGAGACUUGCCACCUCGCUCCUGAGCUCAUAAAUAAAUACAAGGAGGAGGUCAAGCUCGAGGAUGGGAUGAAGGUCCUCGAGGGUCUUACGGUGAAGGUAAUCUUCGGGCUUUCGACUUUAAUCUCAAGUUUUUUUUUUGUCGAGAUUAAUACUUGUCAUUUUCUUCAUUUUUUCCAGAUGUUGAGUAUAGCUUGAGAACUUUCUCUGCAAGGGCUCGAGGAGGCCAAGAGGGCAGCUGGGGUCGAGACGUCCAUGGCCUCUAAGGACAGCAGGAUUCAAGACCUCGAGGCACAGGUCGAGGUUUUAUUGAAGGAGCGUGAUGAAGUGAGAAGGGAGGCUGCAAAGGCCAGGGAUGACCUGGUUGUAGCAAAGGAUGAGGUCGAGGGCUCGAGCUCAUCCAGAAGACAGAGGAUUUUGGGCGCGAGCUCACGGCUGUCAGGGAGAGGGCCUGGGAGGAGUUUAAAACGUCCGAGGACUGCGACAAGAUAAAAGGGGAGUACGCGUCGGGGGCGUACUUCCAUGCUCUGAAAGAAGCCCGGGCCUUCCUCCGUCAGAAGUUGCCCGACGUCACUCCGGACGACCUGAAGACAGUGCCUUCCAUUGCUGAUACAUUGGAGCUCUCGGGUUCGGAAGAUGGAGGAGGAUCAGGCGGAGAUGAGGACGACGGUCUUGAGGACGACGUUGAGAUUGACAUCAGCAACCUCGACCCUCCUUUUGGCCAUAUUGGAUGACUUCCCCCCAUCCCGAUCUUUUGUAAUUUUUGUUUAAAGUUUGAACAUGUAUUUUGAUCGAGGACUAUGUAUGUUCUAAAGUUAAUUUCUUUGAACUAUUUAUCUCGACCCCUUGGACCUCAUACACUCGAGCAAACAAAAAUGGAAAUUAACUGCUCAUGCAACAUUGAAGAGUUUACUCGAGGAUUCUACAACUCGAGCAUAUUUAAGGGAUUAAAAAUUGAGUGACAUUCUCGAGGACUGUAAAACCUCGAGCACAACAAACUUAAAAAGUGAUAAUGUGACAUUCUCAAGGACUGUAAACCUCGAGCACAACUAACUUAAAAAGGUUGGGUUGUGCGACGUUCUCGAGGACUUUUAAACCUCGAGCACAAUUAACUUAAAAAGUUGGGUUGCGAUAUUCUCGAGGACUUCUAACCUCGAGCACAACUAACUUAAAUAGUUGUUAUUUGCUCGUGAUAUCCUCGAGGGAUUGUCAAAAAUGAUGUAGGAUUUUUGUAUGUCCUCGGGUGAUACUAUAACGGUUUACGCUUGAGUAUAUGAUCAAGACUUUUUGUGCUUGCGCAGGGCAAUGCUUUGGUGCUUGCGAGGGGUAAGGCUUUUUUGAGUGCUUGCGCGGGGCAAGGCUUUUUUAAGUGCUUGCGUGGGGCAAGGUUUUUUGUGCUUGCGCGGGGCAAGGCUUUUUUAUGCUUGCGCGGGGCAAGGCUUUUUUAUGCUUGCGCAGGGCAAGGCUUUUUUGAGUGCUUGCUCGGGGCAAGGCUUUUUGUGCUUGCGUGGGACAAGGCUUUUGUGUUUGCUCGGGGCAAGGCUUUGAUGAUUCCUGGGCGCAAAGUAAACAAAAGGGCUGUUAUACCCGAGGUUUGAAUUUACUAAUUUUUCGGACUGGACUUGGAUUUAUAUUGUAUCCAAACUGCCUACGUACCCAAAUGGGAUCAAGCCGAACGUAGUUCAUUAUGAGAGAAAACAAAAAACAUGCUUGGGCAUGCAGGCCCGCUAAACUAGAGAAAUAAAAUGCAAGGGCGCGCAUGCCCGAGGAACCAAAAAUAAUAUUCAGAAGAAAAAAUGCAGGAAUAAAAAGAAAAUCUCCUAGAUGUCAUCGAGAAUGUUACUUGUAGUAUAAUUUCAGAUUAUCAGCGUUCCAGGGCCUUGGAAGAGGUCUACCCGAAGUGUCUUUUAGACUGUAUGCUCCCUUGCGAACCUGUCGUAUGACCUCAAAGGGUCCUUCCCAGAUGGGCCCGAGCUUCCCAGGGGGGUGACCUGCAGCUUCGGCCCUCCUCAGGACCAAGUCGCCUGCUCUGAACCUCCGAGUCUUGACUUUGCUAUUAAAAUGUUUUGCUGUCUUAGUUUGUAAGAGGCCACCUUUAUAGUGGCUUGCUCCCGCACUUCUUCCAAGAGAUCAAGAUGUUCAGUUGUAUGCUCCAAGAUUUCUGGCACGAGCCUCCUAUGGCUCGGGAGUCUAAUUUCUACCAGGACCAUUGCUUCAGUGCCAUAGGCUAACAUAAAGGGGGUUUCUCCUGUGGUUGUCCUAUGAGUUGUUCUAUACGUUCAAAGUAUAGAAGGCAGCUCGUAGGACCAAGAUCCCCUAGCAUUGCCUAUUCUUGUUCGGAGGUCUUGUAAUAUAAUUCGAUUUGUUACCUCGGCCAGACCAUUGCUCUGAGGAUGUGAAACUGAUGUCAGACGGUGAUCAAUCCCAAGGUUUGAGCAAAAGUCCCUAAACUGUUGAUUGUCAAAUUGCCUGCCAUUGUCGGUGAUGAGGACCUUUGGUAUCCCAAACCUGCAAAUGAUAGAUCUCUAAGUGAAGGCUCUUAGCUUGGGCUCCGAUAUUGUGGCGAGAGGUUCGGCCUCUACCCAUUUUGUGAAGUACUCUACUGCUACAGCAACAAACUUUAAUUGACCUCUAGCCACAGGAAAGGGACCGAGGAUAUCGACUCCCCAUUGUUCAAAUGGGGCCGAACAGUUAAUGUUGGUUAGGUCUUCGGCUGGUGAGUGGAUAACAUUACCAAACCUCUGGCACCUAUCACAUCUUUUAACAUAUUCUGAGGUGUCUUUUUUCAUAGUUGGCCAAUAGUACCCAUAUCGUACGAGUUUAAAGGCCAAGGCCCUGGCUCCUUGAUGAUUCCUGCACACACCUUCAUGAACUUCAGCAAGGGCCUGAGAUAAUUCUGAUGGCCUGAGACACCUUAGGUACGGAAGAGUAAUACUUCUGCGGAAAAGGACACCGCUGAUCAUGCAGUACCUAGGAGCUCGGGCUCUGAUGCUUCUGGCCAACCUGGCAUCGCUUGGUAGAUUUCCACUUGUGAGGAAUUCGAUGAUUGGGUCCAUCCAGGAUGGUUCGUUGUCAAUGUCCAUGAUGUCGAGGAUUUGGCUGAUGCUGGGUUCUGUGAUGAUUUUAAUGUGAACUGUUCUGUCAAGGCCGUCCACCCCCAUGAACACAAGCCUGGAUAAUGCAUCGGCUUUUCCGUUGUCCUUUCAAGCAAUUUUUGCAAUUUCACAACUCUUGAAUUUUCGUUGAAGAUCCUGAACCUUCAUAUAGUACAAACUCAUUUUCUCGUCUUUCCUUUCAAAUGAACCUUCAAUCUGUCCGACCACCAGUUGUGAGUCGCUGAAUAUCUUUAUGAACUCGAGCUCAAGGCAAAGGGCUAGCUCAAGAGCAAUAACGACGGCCUCAUACUCGGCCUUGUUGUUGGUUGCUUCAAACUUGAACCUGAGAGCGCAUUGAAUUUCUGUUUGUUUGUCAGGGCUGAUGAUGACGACCCCUGCGCCCAAGCCCGAGGAGUUGGAUGCUCCAUCCACAAAAAUUUGCCAAGUGUCCAAAUUAGUACUCAUGCUCGAGCUGUCACCUGGCCCUCGAGGCCUAGGGGUUAGUUCUGCAAUGAAGUCGGCUAGAGCUUGGGCUUUGAUAGAUGGGCGUGGUUUGAAUUCUAUGUCAAAUUCUCCAAGCUCGAUUGCCCAUUUCAUCAGUCUUCCCGAUACGUCCGGCUUCUGAAGUAUAUGCCUAAGUGGUUGAUUAGUGAGCACCACAAUAGGGUGAGACUGAAAAUAUUACCGGAGUUUUCGUGCUGCUAUAACCAAGGCAAGGGCAAGUUGUUCCGCCAAAGUAUACCUUGUUUCCGCAUCCAGUCGGACCUUGCUUGCAUAGUAGAUUGGUUGCUGGACUUUGUUAACCUCUUUCACCAAGACCCGGCUGACCGCGUUUUGAGACACGGCCAAGUACAAAAAUAAGGUGUCACCAGGUUCAGGCCUAGUGAGAAUAGGAGGAGAUGCCAAUGUCUACUUGAGCUCCUGAAAAGCUUUCUCACAGUCUUCACUCUAAUCGAAGCCUUGGUUUCCUCUGAGGACUUUGAAAAAGGGAUAGCACCUGUCUGAUGCUCGGGACAUGAACCUGUUCAAGGCUGCUAUCCUAUCAGUCAACCUCUGUACCUCUUUCUUGUUCCUUGGUGAUUCCAUAGAUGCCAAGGCUUGUAUUUUAUCAGGGUUGGCCUCUAUCCCCCGGUGAGUGAUCAUAAAGCCCAAGAACUUGCCCGAGGCCACGCCAAAUGCACAUUUUUUCAACUUCAUUCCGUACUUUCGCAAGGUGUCAAAAACCUCUUCAAGAUCUGAAAUAUGCUGGUCCACCUGUUUGCUCUUGACCACCAUGUCAUCAACGUACGCCUCCACGUUCCUUCCAAUCAAGUUAGCAAAGACUUUGUUGAUGAGUCUUUGGUAUGUUGCCCCUGCAUUCUUCAAACCGAAAGGCAUGACCUUAUAACAGUAUAUGGCGGAAUCGGCCAUGAAUGAUGUCUUUUCUUGAUCUUCCUCGGCCAUGAGGAUUUGAUGAUAACUAGAAAAUGCAUCCAAGAAGCUGUACAACUUAUGUCCGGACGUGCUAUCCACCAAGUUGUCAAUCCGUGGUAGGGGAUAACUAUCCUUUGGACAUGCUUUGUUAAGAUCUGUGAAGUCAAUGCAGACCCUCCACUUACCAUUGACCUUCUUUACUAAAACAACAUUGGGAAGCCAAUCGGGAUAUUGGACCUCCCGAAUGAACUAAGCACUAACGAGUUUGUUAAUUUCUUCGCGAAUGAUCUCCCGACGUUCUGGGGCAAACUGUCUUUUCCUCUGCUUUACUGGUCUGGCCCCUGGGCUAAUGUUAAGCCUAUGGACUGCAAUUUUAGGGUCUAUCCCUGACAUAUCCUCAACCUUCCAGGCAAAAAGUCAAUGUUGCGAGAUAAGCAACCAACAAGUUUUGUCUUUAGGGUGACGUCAAGAUCCCGACCAAUAGUCGCCUUCUUAUCAUGCUCGAGCUCAAUUUCCAUCAAUUCUUCGACAGGGGCAUCCUCAGCAGGGGGUUGGUUUGGAGCGGACGAGCUUGCUGGUGGAAGACCUGAACGUGUGUUUACCAUGGCUUUUGGUAGCGGUUCCCACAGACGGCGCCAAUGAUGAUACCAAAAAUCGUACCUACUGAUUUUUCGAGAUUGAUGAUUCGGGUUGAUCACGAUAGCGGUCUUCCGAUACCUGAAACAAAGACAACGAGGUAUGUUCUCGUCGCCCCUCCGAUGCUUAAGUCAGAAAGGGAAAUAUAAGCGUGAGGCUAUGUGCUGAAGAAUAAUGAAAAAACGUACCUGAAUAAUGGCUCAAGGUUCUACUUUUAUAGGGUUGGGUAGUGUACUCCUAGUAGGAUCGUGUUGGUUGGAUGUUUUUAUUCAAGGAAAUUUCUAUUUAUAAAGAGUGUCCUACUUGUAAUGAAAUUGUUUGACAAGCGGUAUCAGGGUUGAUGUAGAAUCCUUGGGUGUUUAGGUUUGUUUGUUAGGUACCCAGGUCUUAGGAGGCAUGUAGGUGGUGUAUGUCUAGAGAACUAUUCUCGAGGACCUGAGAGAAUGUAAAUAUGUCCUCGAGGUAUCUCGAGGACUACGAUACCUCGAGGACUUACGGAGACCCGAGGACCAUAGCAGAGAAAUGAGAUGGGGUAUACAUGGAGUCCUCGGGAUAAACUCCUUGGGGUAUAUCAAUAUUGACAUAGUCACUUAGGAUUGUUGCUGAAUUUUUUAUUUUAUUAUUAUUAUUUUUUAAAUAUUUUUUGGGCAGAAGAGCAUCUACACUAAAGUCCUUGUUCCCUUGGGCAGAAGGAUCUUUGAAAGCCGUGGCGGGGGGCUUUGAUCGUGAAAGUCCUACAGGAAUCAGUGGGGUACAAUAGACUGGACCAAGGUAAGAGACCUCAUGUGGAAAUUGAAAAAUGGCUUCGAAAUAGUGGAUCUUGACUAGGUUCUAUCUGCUGAGGGACUAAUCAAGGAAGGCUUAUCUAUAUGUAUUUAUUGAAGGAGGCCCUCGAAGAUAUUUCAUAGUGUAAAGCUAAUAUAAAAAAAAAAAAAAUACUAUUUACAAUCAGUGUUUACAGUAGUAAUCUUAUUACGUGGCGGCUUGUUAUUUGGGGGCAUUAAUUUCAUGUAAUUCUAUUGCCUCAAACAACAAAUUAUCAUAUGAGAUGAUUCUUGCAGUCGUUGGUUAUGAAUAACAAACUUAAUAUAAAAAUAGAUUAAGGAUCAAGUCUGAGGGUGGGUGAAACAAAAUAAAGUAGUUAUAAAUUGGCAUGCGAAACCAAAAUGAAACUUUCCUAGUCCCUGUUUGGCUCCCCUUUUUUUUCAGAUUUUAAUGUUUGGAAUAGUAUUUUUUUAGAGCAUGUAUAAUUGAAAAAGAAGAAAAUUUUUCGAUUUAUAUAUAAUAUUAUUUUAUAAAAAUUUGUGUAAUUAAAAAUAAGAGAGGAAAAUUAAAAAGAAAGGGAGCCAAACAUGGGCUUAUUCAGUUUUGAACUAUAAGAAUGCUAGACUGAAGAUCAUCAUGCUAUUUAGUUGAUUUCUUUUUAUUUUUAAUUUAAAGAGGGGAUAAUUGCGUCAUUUUACAUUGCUUUAACGGUCAAAAUUGACGAAGGGACGGGAUUUGCUAUACUUUUGAAAAGUUUAGACGGUAUGUGCUAAAGAGAAGAGAUGAAAUUAUGAUUAUGCCCGGGGUAACAUCACAAUGCACAAUAUGUGAUGCAAAUAUUCAUAUAAUUAAAAAAUGUUGACAUAAUUAUGUGGCCAACCUCUUAACCUGCCAGUUUUCAGUUGGUGAGAUACUAUGCAAUUGAACUUGGCCACGUGUUCACUUCUCCGUAUAGUAAAAUUUUACGACGUUAACUAGGGUUAGACAUCGUUGUCACACAAAAUGACAAGUAGCUAAGCUAGUUGAUCACGAUUCAUGAACAUUACUAUUGGUAAAAAUGGAAAUCAACUACAAAAUUGUCCAUCGAGUAUAAAAAAACGAAUGGUAAACUCUGUUUGUAUCAAUACUAAAGAGAUCCGUGAACGAUAGAAGAUCCUAACCGUCCAACUUAUGGGUCCACUCCCUGGCAUGAAAUCAUACUAUAAAUUGCACAAUCUAGAAGCAAUGACAACACAACUCACUAGGGUUAACAAUUUUCAUUUAUUAUCUAGCAUUUUACAUUUAACUGCACUUCCACCACAACCACCCCCACCAUCAUCAUGGCUGAAGAGAAGAAGCACCACCACCACUUCCACCACGACAAGGACGAGGACAAGCUAGUCGAGGCAGUUUACUCCGACAGCGCCUACGGUACUGAGAAAUACGAGAAAGAAAAGAAGGAACAUAAGCACAAGGAACACCUCGGCGAGAUGGGCGCAACUGCUGCUGGUGCCUUUGCCCUGGUAAAUUCUCUUGUUUUGUUGUGGCCAGUUUCAUAAUUUAUCAAACUAUCUCAUCUAAAAGAUUAAGGUCUCCAAUUUUUUGGGCAAAGGUCUGACACGUGGACAAUUUUUGUUCUUUAAUAACGUUUAGUAUGAGAAGCACGAGUCAAAGAAAGACCCCGAACAUGCCCACAAGCACAAGAUUGAAGAAGAAAUAGCAGCAACAGUUGGGGUUGGAGCCGGCGGAUAUGCAUUCCACGAGCAUCACGAGAAGAAGGAAGCCAACAAAGAAGAAGAAAGGGCUGAAGGAAAGAAGCAUCACCACCUCUUUUAACUAUUGCCAGUGCUUGAUUUCUAUGGUUUUAUGUUCUGCCUUAAAUAAUAUUUGUGUGUAACUAAGACUAUGGCUUCACCAGCAAAUGCCUAGUAUAGUAUAUAUGGUGUAGACUGGUAUUCCUGCAGUGUGGUUUGUAAUUACUUGGUGUUCAUUUUGCUCUAUAAAUGAGGACUUCACCUUUUAAUUAAGUAGACUAUGCAUAAUGCAAACUAAGGAGUUCAAAAUGUUUGGAUAAGCUUAACAAGAACUCAAAGUACUUUUAACAAAAGUAGGUUCUUAAACUUUGAGGAAAAUUCCCUGUUGCUACCUUUCAUAAAAGUUUUGAGUCCCAAUUUUGCUAUCAUUCUCUCGAAUCAGCUACCGAUUAUUACUUUGGUAAGUUAUUGCCUCACCAAUUAGCUAAUUAGAUGUUGUUUGAUUGAAGUUACCUCAAGAAGAGCCGGAAUAAUGUUGUUUGAUUGUUAUAAAAUAAUUUAUUGCACGUUUAGUAAGCUUAGUUAGACAAGACAAGGGAUGAAAUUAAAAUUUUUCUUUUUCUUUCUUUCUUUUUUUUUUUUUUUUUAAAGAUCGUUACACACGUACGAUAUUUUCAUAAUUGAGUCGUACUAAAACUUAAAAUCAGGAUUUUAUUUAUUUAUUUUGAUUUUACUCCUAUACUAUUUUAAGACUACUGUUACUUUCUAGAGUGAAUUGUUGAAAUGGUCACUAUAUUUUGUAAAAAAAUUUCAAGGGAUCAUUGAACUUUAAAAAUCACUUAAAUGAUCAUUGAAUUUUGCAAACAAAAUUUACGAGUCACAGAACUCUUAAAAAUCAUUUAAAUGGUUGCUGAAUUUUGCAAAAUAUUUUCAUCCUUGGAAAAUCUUUUGCAAAGUUAAGUGAUCAUUUAGAUUAUUUUUAAAGUUCAGUGAUUUCGUAGAAAUUUUUUGGAAAGUUCAGUGACUAUGUAGGUGAUUUUUAAAGUUUAGUAACCCCUUUGAAAUAUUUUACAAAGUUAACUGACCAUUUAAAUAAUUCACUCUACUUUCUACAAAAAUUUCCAACGUUGGUAUGGUCAAUUAUGUAUAGCCGAAUUGCAUCAAAUGUUGAAUUGGUAGUCCAAAAGUAAUGGAGACAAUAGAAAGUGCUAAGCAUGAUUAAUUACUUUGAUUUUUUAUUAAUUAACCCAUGAGAUAAAGCAGAAAUCUUCGAGAAGAAGGAAGCCAACAAAGAAGAAGAAAGGGCUGAAGGAAAGAAGCAUCACCACCUCUUUUAACUAUUGCCAGUGCUUGAUUUCUAUGGUUUUAUGUUCUGCCUUAAAUAAUAUUUGUGUGUAACUAAGACUAUGGCUUCACCAGCAAAUGCCUAGUAUAGUAUAUAUGGUGUAGACUGGUAUUCCUGCAGUGUGGUUUGUAAUUACUUGGUGUUCAUUUUGCUCUAUAAAUGAGGACUUCACCUUUUAAUUAAGUAGACUAUGCAUAAUGCAAACUAAGGAGUUCAAAAUGUUUGGAUAAGCUUAACAAGAACUCAAAGUACUUUUAACAAAAGUAGGUUCUUAAACUUUGAGGAAAAUUCCCUGUUGCUACCUUUCAUAAAAGUUUUGAGUCCCAAUUUUGCUAUCAUUCUCUCGAAUCAGCUACCGAUUAUUACUUUGGUAAGUUAUUGCCUCACCAAUUAGCUAAUUAGAUGUUGUUUGAUUGAAGUUACCUCAAGAAGAGCCCGAAUAAUGUUGUUUGAUUGUUAUAAAAUAAUUU
This 12848-nucleotide long non-coding RNA is filed under the name Olea europaea (common olive). Its description in RNAcentral is "long non-coding RNA (OEUR_LNC005507)". The record is from RNAcentral. Lineage: Eukaryota; Viridiplantae; Streptophyta; Magnoliopsida; Lamiales; Oleaceae.